AUGGAUAAAGCUAAAAAGGUUGACUGUACCAAGACUUGUCAAGGAUGUUUCAUCAGGACUCAGAAAGUCACUCAAGCUCAGACUACAGUACCAGGACAGGAAGGAGAAUCUGUGACAAUGAACUGCGAGUAUGAAACCACAUGGAGUGAUUAUUAUUUGUAUUGGUACAAACAGCCUCCCAGUGGAGAGAUGGUUUUCCUUAUUUAUCAGUACCCUUCUCACCAAAAUGCAAUUAAGGGCCGUUACUCUGUGAAUUUUCAAAAGGCAAACAAAUUCAUCAGCCUCACCAUCUCUUCCUUACGACUGGCUGACUCAGCCACGUACUUCUGUGCUCUCCGAGAACCCACACUAAUACAAGUGACAGCAGGACUCACAGUAAUAGAAGUGAUGGUGGAAGCUUAG
Non-coding RNA from Artibeus jamaicensis (Jamaican fruit-eating bat), 402 nucleotides. The record is from the annotation of a RefSeq genome assembly. Lineage: Eukaryota; Metazoa; Chordata; Mammalia; Chiroptera; Phyllostomidae.